ACGGUGACCGUAUGUCGUUUCUGAUCAGGGAAGACGACCCAUCCGACUACUCGAAGCUCCUCAAUCAAUGCUUUGUAGUCGUCUCGGACAAUGCGCCCUCUCUUCCUCCUUUCGAUCCUCAUUCUCGUUGGUCCCAACUUCAGGUCUCUCUCUCUCUUAUGCACACACACUCACACACAGUUCAUGUACAGACGCAGCGAAUGCAGUAGGGUUUUUUGUGGAAGAAAAGAGGUGCAAUUUGACUUGUACGAAAAUGAAAAAUGGAGGAAAAUCUGAGAUUAAGUUUAAUCCAUGAAAUGAAAAUAUAUAUUUCGAAAGAAAAACUUCAAUUUCGUACAGGAAGUCAUCACUACUCCAUCUACUUCAAUCAAUUUGGAUUUCAUUACAAUUGUAUUGAUGGC
RNAcentral lists this long non-coding RNA (401 nucleotides) under Lactuca sativa (garden lettuce). RNAcentral describes it as "long non-coding RNA (LSAT_LNC003429)". Lineage: Eukaryota; Viridiplantae; Streptophyta; Magnoliopsida; Asterales; Asteraceae. The record is from RNAcentral.